Molecule: long non-coding RNA, 3911 nt
Organism: Marmota monax (woodchuck)
Lineage: Eukaryota; Metazoa; Chordata; Mammalia; Rodentia; Sciuridae
Exons: 3
Source: RefSeq, a predicted model, not a curated record
GCAGCCGCGGCAGCUGGAGUCGGAGGGGGGGACGAUUUCAAAAAAUAAUUAAAAAUCGAGGAAAUAUCCUAGAAAAGCCCUUUUGGCGUGAAAACCCCAAAGAGGAUCCAGGCUUCCCGAAACGGAGGUUUUGGGUGACAGGAAGGUCUGCAUCUCGACCCCUGGGGCUUUGGAUCCCGAGGGGAAACUUGAAGGAGUGAAGCCGCGCGGGAGUGUCCGGCUGCGGCCCACAAGGGCAGAGACUAGGAACGUGGUGCCCAGUUGGAGGAAAGACGGGAACAGGGAGCCCCGGGAAGAGGCACUGGGGGGCUCUGACCUCUUAUUUAGGGGUGCCCCGAAACUCCCCCUACACACACCUCCUCCCUCCCCCCAUCCUACCCCACCCUAAUCUCCGCACUGAAGAAGCUGGAAAACCAAACUAUGGGAAUCCUACUAUGUUGCCCAGGCUGGUUUCAAACUAUUGGACUCAAGCAACCUUCCUGCCUCAGCCUCCAGAAUAGCUGGGAUGACAGUCAUGCACCACAGUGCCCAACUCCAAAUCUUUUGAGAAGUGUUUGGGACUGAGACUUCAGGGAGAAAACACGUUUCAUAAAAGUGAUGCAACCAAAACACUUUAUUAACUACUCUUCUUUCUUCUGUCUUCUAUUUAUAAGAGAAGUUGCAAUAAAACAGGCUCCUACAAAGACCGAUAUUGAACAUGUACCUUUUAAAAGGUUCUGAGGCAUCAGUGUAGACUCAAUUUCACCUCUACCCUUCUGUCCACAUCUCCAAUCCCAGAUGGUGAGAGUCCAUGCCUGUGGUAACUUCUGGUCAGAACCCAGAAGGUUGAAUUCCUUGCUCUGUGCUUGCUAAGAUGGGAAAAUAGACUCUUCUUUUGAGAGAAAUCUCCUGAUUCUAAGAGAAACAUAAAGGAUUCUUUUUUUUUCUCAAGUUAAUAUUCAGUUCAUAAAAAUGGAGUUUAGGAGAAAUUCUCCAAGCUUUGAAUUUUUGAAUCAAUUUAACUUUUACUACAAAAGCAAAUCUGAAACCACAAAUUAAUUGGGGAAGAAGGGACACACUUCACUAAGGAUUUUUUACUUAGCUAGAGACGCUGUUGUGGUGCUUCUUAAAUCAGAGAGUAUUUCUGGUACCUUAAAAUCAUUUCAUUCUGUGAAAGAGAACAUUCUGGCUGGGCAUGGUGGGGCACACCUCUAAUCCCAGUUGCUUGGGAGGCCGAGGCAGGAGGAUCACAAGUUAAAAGCCAGCUCAACAACUUAGUGAGACCCCUUCUCAAAAGAAAAGAAUUAAAAGGGGUGGGGGUGUGGCUCAGUCGUUAGGCACUCCUGGAUUAACUCCUCAGUACAAAAAAGAAGGAAAAAAAGAAAGAAAGAGAGAACAUUCAAUUUGUGAAGUCUGGCACAAUAUACCUGGCCACUUGAGAUCCCUGGAACUGACAUCAUGUUAAUUCUGGGAGGGAAUUUGAGUCUCCACUCUUCACUUUAGAAAGGAAGAAACUGUGGCCUGGAGAAAUUUCCUGACUUUUCACAGUGCAAAGUCCAGUGUCCAGUUUUCUCCCAUUACUGUGCCUCAUCUUGUGUCCAAGAUCUGGGACUCCUAGUUGGAACUCGACCUGGUCCUCAGCUGCCGUCAAGGAUGCUUACUGGAAUAAAGUUGAAGUUUAGUGUGGUAAAUUUGGAACCAAUCUUUACAAGGAUACUGAAGAGGAUUCCAACAAGGGAAGAUCGGCAUGCCCAUCAUGUCUUCUAGGCUGUCACUACUGCCUGUCCCUUUUCUCCAGCAGCAGAAGAAAGCAGAGCCAUGGGGUUUGGGGAGCAGGGAGAGGAGAGAAAGUUGCUUCACAGGGCUGGCUUAACUGGCUUCCUCUCCUCUUCUGGAACCAUGGAGCUGCCUGUGAAUCUGUAACUCCGUCCUCCUGCCUGGUUGGGCACCUGGGUGACCUUAGCCAGUUUCUUCCAGCCUGGCUUCUAAGCAGUCCUUUCCUCUUGGGUUUAGAUGCUUCUAUGGGCAGAUGAGCUUAUGCCUAGGAUUUCCUGCUCAAUCUCAUGGUUCCUGAGUUUGAAUUUAACCUCUUAGCACAUUAUGGUCUCAUCUACCUUAAGGGAAAGAUGGUCUCAUUGGGAGCAGCACCAGUUGCUCUUCCAACACAGGCAAAAUGCCAUCAACCACACUUUUCCAUUCCUCCAUGUGGGAUACGCCAGGAGUGUCUUGGGGAAAACAAAGAAGACAGAGAAAACAAAGAUAUGGAGAAAACAAAGAAGAUGAGACCCGUAUUCUUACAGCUCAGAGUUUCUUGGGGGACACAGGUGUAUGUAAAACUAUGAUACUGAGAGGAAACGUAGCCCAAGUGAGAAACGACCCUGCAAGUGCCCUCACUAGCUCCAUGUUCUAAUGAGCUUAGUUGAACCACCAGAGGAGAAGGUGAGCAUAGUUAUUCUCGGGGCGGAGGUACAAGCUGACCGACAGAACCAAAAAGUAGCUGGAACUUCUGCUAGGCCACCUGAGGUCCAGAAGCAAUUCCAUAUAGCAAAGAGCAUGCUCAGACCCAAGACUCAGGAUACCCAGACUCCAGUUGGGUCUGCUGUGAAUAAGGUAAGCAAUGGCUGGAUGGACAGUUCAUUCAACAGAUUUAUUGAGCACCUGUUAAUAGACGUGGAGAUCCAAAAGAAAUAAGACCCAGACUCCGUCCUCAGGGAUGCUCACAAGUAAACAGGUUAUUUCCAUGAUAAGGAUCCAUAUGUUCCUUCCUCCCAGGUCUGUGACUUCCUUAUUCUAUGCCUAUGUUUCUACAAAUCAGACUUAAAUGAUAGUCAGGAUGCAAAGCCCCAGGCACAAUUCCCUGGGCUAAUUUUUUCUCCUCAGAUGAGAAAAACUGCAGAUGGCCCCAGAACCCCUGCUUCUUCCUGAACACCUUCAACCCACAGGUAUCUUGCCUGCAUAGCCACAUAAAACCUCAUGCUCACUCUGGGUUGGAAAUCAGGGUUUGAACAGAAGCUGGCAGCAAGGGAUGGGUCCUGUAGGCAUGGGUGCACUCAGGAGGACAGAUGCCAGAAAAGGCCUCGAUUCUCCUGAGAACGCUUAUCUCCUGGCCUGUCCUGGACAGCAGAGUCUUGCUCUAAGUGUUCUCUGAAAUGCGGCUGCCCUCCAGAUACCCGGGCUCCCAAGGGUUGAGGAAAACCCCACCGCCCUGAAGAGGAGUCACGUGGAGCACACGGGGCCCUGGGCUCUGAGGCAUACAGACAGGCUCUGAACAAGGAAAGCCCCCAGGACUCAGGGCAGACACCCACCACCCUGCCUCUUGGCCUCCUCACUCUGUGCUUUUUCCCAGCCCACAUUCCUAAUGCAAACCAGAUGCCACCGCACCCCCACCCCCACCUCGCCCUUCUCCUUCCACUCCUGGAGUCUGCGCAUGGGCUCGACUCCACCUUGGAAACGCCAGGCCUUCUCUCCAUCAGCCUUGGCCUCUUCUAGCAACAGCUCACUGCCUGGGCACUGCCUCCCAGAGGCUUUCUGAACUUCUUUGUGAUACCUAGCACACCAUUUCUCAGACCUACUCAGUACUAGAGCUCUUUGGACUCUCAUAUGGAAAGCUCAGGCUCCCUUCAUCUCGUGUCCCCUCUCGGUGCCUCUUUCCUGUGUUGCACGACCAGUGAGAAGACCGUCAGGCAUGGACACAAGGGGCCUGAGCAUCAAAGGCAAGGGUAUCCCCCAUGGGGUGCACAUGCCAGAAGGGUCAAGCAAGAUGCACUGGGUUGGGAAGAAAAUAGUAAAUUUCUAUUGAUUUUAAAAACAACACCGUAAGGCAGGAGUUUUAGUUAAUAAUCCUGUAUCAAAAUUGGUUCACUAAUAGUGACAGAUGUAUCAUGGUAAUGUACCAUAUUAAUAAUAAAAAUGGGGCCUGGGGAAUAUGAGAC